This 253-nucleotide ribosomal RNA is filed under the name uncultured bacterium. Its description in RNAcentral is "partial 16S ribosomal RNA". It matches the Rfam family "Bacterial small subunit ribosomal RNA", at positions 524 to 776 of the family's 1533-position model. The record is from RNAcentral.
UACGGAGGGUGCGAGCGUUAAUCGGAAUUACUGGGCGUAAAGCGCACGCAGGCGGUUUGUUAAGCUAGAUGUGAAAGCCCCGGGCUCAACCUGGGAUGGUCAUUUAGAACUGGCAGACUAGAGUCUUGGAGAGGGGAGUGGUAUUCCAGGUGUAGCGGUGAAAUGCGUAGAUAUCUGGAGGAACAUCAGUGGCGAAGGCGACUCCCUGGCCAAAGACUGACGCUCAUGUGCGAAAGUGUGGGUAGCGAACAGG